CCUACGGGUGGCUGCAGUGAGGAAUCUUGCGCAAUGGGGGCAACCCUGACGCAGCCACGCCGCGUGCCGGAAGACGGCCCUAUGGGUUGUAAACGGCUUUUGGAUGGGAAGAACCCCGGAGUUUCGACUCCGGCUGACGGUACCGUUCGAAUAAGCACCGGCUAACUCCGUGCCAGCAGCCGCGGUAAUACGGAGGGUGCAAGCGUUGUCCGGAAUCAUUGGGUGUAAAGGGUGCGUAGGCGGAGGCUUAAGUCGGAGGUGAAAUCUUGCCGCUCAACGGUAAGCGUGCCUUCGAUACUGGGUUUCUUGAGUUCGGAAGAGGUUGGUGGAAUUCGUGGUGUAGCGGUGAAAUGCAUAGAGAUCACGAAGAACACCGGUGGCGAAGGCGGCCAACUGGUCCGAUACUGACGCUGAGGCACGAGAGCGUGGGGAGCGAACAGGAUUAGAUACCCGAGUAGUC
RNAcentral lists this ribosomal RNA (460 nucleotides) under uncultured bacterium. Its description in RNAcentral is "bacterial SSU rRNA". It matches the Rfam family "Bacterial small subunit ribosomal RNA", at positions 338 to 795 of the family's 1533-position model. The record is from RNAcentral.